This 254-nucleotide ribosomal RNA is filed under the name uncultured bacterium. RNAcentral's name for it is "partial 16S ribosomal RNA". It matches the Rfam family "Bacterial small subunit ribosomal RNA", at positions 524 to 777 of the family's 1533-position model. The record is from RNAcentral.
UACAGAGGGUGCGAGCGUUGUCCGGAAUCACUGGGCGUAAAGGGCGCGUAGGUGGCGCUCCAAGUCUGUGGUGAAAGCUCGACGCUCAACGUCGAGUCGGCCAUAGAGACUGGAGGGCUCGAGCACUGUAGGGGCAGAUGGAAUUCCGGGUGUAGCGGUGGAAUGCGUAGAGAUCCGGAAGAACACCGGUGGCGAAGGCGGUCUGCUGGGCAGUUGCUGACACUGAGGCGCGACAGCGUGGGGAGCAAACAGGG